Molecule: unclassified non-coding RNA, 274 nt
Filed under: Hevea brasiliensis (rubber tree)
Lineage: Eukaryota; Viridiplantae; Streptophyta; Magnoliopsida; Malpighiales; Euphorbiaceae
Source: RNAcentral
UCCUGUUUACCCUGUGGGACCUAUUUUAGAUAUGGGGUCAGAUGGAAGAAACACUCAUAAGGAAAUCAUGCGAUGGCUUGAUGAUCAGCCUCCAUCGACAGUAGUAUUCCUGUGCUUUGGGAGCAAGGGAACUUUUAGUCAGAAUCAAGUGACAGAGAUUGCUUGCGCCUUAGAGCAUAGUGGUCAUCGAUUCUUGUGGUCACUGCGCCGACCGGCACCUCCGGGUCUCCUAGCAUCUCCUAGUGAUUAUGAGGAUCCACAAGAAGUCUUGCCC